CCAGGGGUGGAGUCGUGGUCCGAUUGAGGGCUCUCUACUCUCGAAUUUGUUUUCCCGGGAAGGACGGGGCGGCUGGCCCAGGUGGCCCGCCCCACCGCCGGGUUCUGACAUUCCGGAGAUGCCCUUUCCGGGUGCGCCGACGCCUGCGGUUGCUGCUGCUGCAUUGCUUGCACAGCUUCGAUGAGGCCUCUGACCUACUGUGCCAGCAAGUCAAAUUGCUCCGUGCCGACCGCCACCGCCGGAGGAGGA
Molecule: long non-coding RNA, 249 nt
Filed under: Elaeis guineensis (African oil palm)
Lineage: Eukaryota; Viridiplantae; Streptophyta; Magnoliopsida; Arecales; Arecaceae
Description: long non-coding RNA (EGUI_LNC077089)
Source: RNAcentral